GAUGAACGCUGGCGGCGUGCCUAAUACAUGCAAGUCGAGCGAACGGACGAGAAGCUUGCUUCUCUGAUGUUAGCGGCGGACGGGUGAGUAACACGUGGAUAACCUACCUAUAAGACUGGGAUAACUUCGGGAAACCGGAGCUAAUACCGGAUGAUAUUUUGAACCGCAUGGUUCAAAAGUGAAAGACGGUCUUGCUGUCACUUAUAGAUGGAUCCGCGCUGCAUUAGCUAGUUGGUAAGGGAACGGCUUACCAAGGCAACGAUGCAUAGCCGACCUGAGAGGGUGAUCGGCCACACUGGAACUGAGACACGGUCCAGACUCCUACGGGAGGCAGCAGUAGGGAAUCUUCCGCAAUGGGCGAAAGCCUGACGGAGCAACGCCGCGUGAGUGAUGAAGGUCUUCGGAUCGUAAAACUCUGUUAUUAGGGAAGAACAUAUGUGUAAGUAACUGUGCACAUCUUGACGGUACCUAAUCAGAAAGCCACGGCUAACUACGUG
This 497-nucleotide ribosomal RNA is filed under the name uncultured bacterium. Its description in RNAcentral is "partial 16S ribosomal RNA". It matches the Rfam family "Bacterial small subunit ribosomal RNA", at positions 28 to 507 of the family's 1533-position model. The record is from RNAcentral.